Long non-coding RNA from Sapajus apella (tufted capuchin), 2870 nucleotides. RefSeq lists it as uncharacterized. The record is from RefSeq and is a predicted model, not a curated record. NCBI's taxonomy places the organism in Eukaryota, Metazoa, Chordata, Mammalia, Primates, Cebidae. The transcript is spliced from 2 exons.
AUUCACCUAUUUUAAGUACACAAUUCAAUAACUUUAAGAAAAUUAAUUGAGGUGUACAACUAUUACCAUAAUCUAAUUUUAGAACAUUUCUGAUAAUGGGUAUCUACUCUUUGACAGCGAUCAUUUUAGGGUAUUGUCAUGGCAUCUAUUCACUAAUGUAUUCAUUGUUUAUUAUUGAAAUAUACCUAAGAAAUUUUUUAAAACUAGUAUUUUUCCUCAGCAUUUUAAAUAAAGGGAUUAUUUUAAAAUAGACCAGCUAGUAGUUUUAUAUUUACUCUUCUAUUUUAGUAAUUUCAUAUGCCAUAGAGAGGGCUGUGCAGAUCAGCCAUUUGAACAAGCUGGCUUCUGGUAAGGAAAGAGAUUUUAAAAGAAAACUAGACUGUUUAAAAAUCAAGCCUGAUAUUGUCCUUUUUUAUAUUAAAAAUGACCAAUCAACAAACCACAUUAAGUCAGCAUUUGGUAUUGGUGUAUCCAAAAAUUCUGCCCUGGGUAUGGAUACUUCUUGAAUUAAGGAAGCAUAAUGAUGGCCUCCCUUUCACUCAAUAAAGGUUAUGGAGUCUGGAUUAACAGUGUUAUACCAGUGGACAUACAAGAAGACGGUAACAAUAAUUCAUGAUUCAUUAAUCAACUAGUAGAAAAAUGUUAGGUGGUUUCCCAACUGUGGUUACUUUAGAUUCGUAGGCUUAGUAUAGGGUCUGAAGGUACUUUCACUAAUUUAGUUGAUGCCUGUAUUUGUUGUUCCAAAGUGAACAGGUCUAUACAAACCUACCCCCAAAGGCCAGUGUAGCUAAGAGGCUGAAGAAGGAGGCUGACAAAUAUAGCCUCUUAGAAAGAAAACAUUUGAUAGGGACUUAUGAACUGAAGUUAUAUCUCUAGGUUCCACAACACAGUGGAUCUCUGCAUUCGCCCUCCAGAAAACACAAAUAACCAGGUAGCAAGCUUUUAGAGUAAAAUAUGUACAACUGGUCACAUCUCAGAUUUCUUGCCAAAAUUUGUGACUACUGAUGAGGUUAGAUAAGCAUCUUUAUGAAGGGUUAUCUGUGCUACUGACAUCUUAAGACCUUGCUGUACAACACCUUGGGAUAUGCACGAGUCAAGCAUGGGUCCUUCAUGGCAGUUUUGCUUCAAGAAAGCAUCACCCUUGCCAUGCAGCAGGCUCUUUGUCUACACUCCCUCAAAAUCAGCCUUUACAAUCUCCAGUGUCCACCUCUUCUAUGAUAGUUUCUGGGCCUAAAGGGAAGACAUUUGAUAUUGUAUAGCUUUAGCAACAGUGCUUUGACUCCAUUGGAGGCAGAUAGCACAACAAUGAAGGCAAAAACAGAACAUUAACAACACAUGAGUAUAAUAGUUAAACCAAGAGGCAGCUUCUGUUACGAGGUGCCCCAGGACCCAAACCAGACGCAAAGCCAAUCAUUCGAAGUGGGGAUUUGGUCUGAGAGAUUGGUUAUUUGUGUUUUUAUAUCAGUCAUUAAUUUAGUGAUAUUAUCUGAUUCAUCAGGAAUAUAAAGAAAAAGUUGCUUCAUAAGCAACAUCUGGUUACAGGAAUGGCCUAAUAUAACAACUAUGGAUGAAAAGAGAUAAGAAGGAAAUUUAGUGUACUUGCAAAGUAAGAUCUUCUCCAUCUCUGAACAUAUUCUGGUUGAUUUCGUGUAGAGCAGUUACUAAAGGGACAGCUCUUGGCUUUUAUAAAGGGGCCAUAUACCAUAUAUGUUGCCCAGGAGUUGUCAGCAGUGGUUGUCAAAGUAAUUUGGCUGAAAGUAUAAUAUACUAGAGAGCCCACCAACAUUCCACUGUCUAGACAUGCUCCUCUUGACCGCUUAUAGCAGGUGAUCAUGGGUCCAGUAUUCAAUAGGCUCAAUGGAGAUGAGUCUAACUGCUCAGGAUGUUUCCCACUCUCUGGCAGGAAUAACUUAACCAGUGUGGGGUAGUUACCACGUUAAGCCCUAGUAGGGCAUCCCCUUCCCUGGUAGCAUGUUUGUUGCUGCCUUCAUGCAUAAAACACACAGGUUGUCAAACAGGUCCGGGAGCAAAGAAGUUGUCUUAGUUAUCCAUAUGUAAACCAUGGUAGGCUUGGAGAAAGGUUGUCCCAACCAAUCAUAUGAGGCAGACAUCUCUUUGGCUGACUUAACGAAAUAAGGACUGUAGAUAAAAGUCAUCCACUCGGACAACCGACAUCCAUUCAGUUUACUUCCCCAGUAAACUGAAUCUGUGCUUUCAACAGAACAUUUUUCCUUUCAAUUAACCAUGCUGCUUGAGGGUUAUAUGGGAAAUGAAAGUGUCUUGCUAUAUUGUGUGGCAUAGACAUUAUGUCCAGCAAAGUGGGUCCCUCAGUCACUGUCAACGCACUGGGGAUAUCCAUACAUAGUACUAGAGCCUCUAACCCUUUAAUAGUACUGACUUGAUAGUUUGCUUAGCAGGAAAAUCUUACGGCAGUCUAGUAGCAGUGUCCACAUGAGUUAACACAUGUUUCCUUCCUUACAGGGAGAGGUCCUAUAUAAUCUAAUUGCCAAUUGGCUACAGGGAGAACAGCCCUGUAAAUGUGUCCUGCUUGAUUUGGGCUAUACCAUGGUCACAAUAGAGAACAAGGUGUUUUGUAGCUGUGAUUAAAGUCCAUCAUCACUUGACUUUAAUAAGAGAGAUUGCCUUAGAUGAUCCAGAUGAUCUGAUUCAAUCAGUUGCAAGACCUUAAGAGCAAGCUGAAGCUUCUCUGAAGAAGAAUAAAUUCCGCCUAUGGACAAUGACCAUAACCCAUGCCCAAGAGUGCCAGCCUGCCCUUUCUGACCAUUUUGUGCCCUUUGAAUUUUGGAUUUGCCUAGCCAAAGCCCACAGUCACGCAAGACAAUUCCUCACAAUAAAUCUCUUACGAUAUA